GGUUUUUCUGUGUAGCUCUGGCUGUCCUGGAACUCACUCUGUAGACCAGGAUGGCCUUGAACUCAAAAAGAUCCACCUGCCUCUGCCUCCCCAAGUGCUGGGAUUAAAGGCAUGCACCACCACCGCCUG
Molecule: microRNA precursor, 129 nt
Filed under: Microtus ochrogaster (prairie vole)
Lineage: Eukaryota; Metazoa; Chordata; Mammalia; Rodentia; Cricetidae
Description: miRNA (ENSMOCG00000006166.1)
Source: RNAcentral